GCCCGUGGGGAGCGCGGAGUAACGCCUGGGAGCCGCGCUAGUGGCCAGAAGAAGCAUCAGGCUCGCGGGGUUCCGGGCCGCCCCGCCUCCUCCCCUCCCCCCAUUCACAAACCACUACAGGGGCGGGCCCCCGAGCCCCCGGGCGGCCCAAUGACGGCCUUUGUUUUCUCUGUAGUCGCCUCCCGGUUGGGUGGAAGUCGGAAGGGGCGGGCAAGGGAACAGGGGAGGCGGUGUCUGCAGCGCUCUGGGCGGAUUCCUGAGGGGAGGGGCAGGGGACCGGGAGGAAAAAGUUAGGAAAAACUUUUACCCUGAAUUUGCUCAGGGGAGAAAAACGCACCAGAAAGGAAAUUUGCUUGAAAGAUUUGCUCCUCUUCCAGGUACACUAAAAUACACAUUCCUGAGCAGAAGGGUGCUUUCUCCAAAGGCUCUUGAGAGGAGAAGCUUAAUGCCUUCACCGAGAGACGUGACCCAGAGAAUCACUGUAGCCCUGCCUGGUCUGAAAAGGUAAGAAAGCUCAAGGCCCAGAUGGUGGAAUGUAUUUUCCGAGGAUUGACAGACAGAACUGGGACUGGAAUCCACACAUUUUGGUUCCUGGGACCCUGUUUUAUCCAAGAACCUUGCACAUAAAAUGGCUUUGUGCUCUCUACUUCCUGAUCCUCUCAAACUAGAAAUGGCUUGCAGGAGCUCCAAAGUAAAAGAUCAGAGUGACUAGUCUAAGCCACCACAGGGUGGCUUCUGUCCUGGCCACCCAUCCACUCAAAUGGCCCUCCAGCCUAUUACUUCUCAAUCGGACUUCUAUCAUGGACCACUCCAUAGACCUAAUUUUUAAAGGGGGACUCCAAACUGCUUGCCCAACAUGGUCCCCUUUCAGCUUGAAGAAGCCAGAAUGAUCUUUGCUCCCUUUCCUUACAGCAGUAAGGAGUUCCCAAAAUUAGAGGGGGGAAUGAAGCCAGAUUUAAAGUUAGGUAGUCAGUGUAGUUAGGUAAAUCGGGUCUAAUAUCGAGUGAAAUCUAAAUGGAGGCCAUGUUGAGAAUGAAUUCCUGGAAAAGUAGAGCAACUCUCCUGGAAUGUUAAUGAAGUCCAGGAAAAAGCCCAAGGCCAAGGUCCAUCCCAAAGAAAUGUUAAUGAACAGCCAACUUGAAGAUGCUGAUUCAGAAGUGUCCAGAUUACUUCUUUGGCCCACCUGUGUCCCAACCCUUCAGGCUUUCCCACCUACAUUCCAUCACGGAAAACUAUAAAAUGGAGAGACAACCGCACUUCCAUGGAUUCCAUCUCUUGGGUCCCCUUCUUCCUCCAGGAGAAGUCUUUUCUGCUGUCCUUUAAUAAACUUCUAAUUUUCCACUCUGAAAAUUAAAAAAAAAAAAAAAAAAGAAAAAGAAAACCAAUGGAAGGGUCGGGUGCAUGGUUGGAUUUGACCAGUUGCCCUGUGAUGAAAAAUGACAGUGCUCUCAGGCUUCUUCCUGUUGCUUCUAUGAUUUUUAAUUUGUUCAGGUCUAUAGCAUCUGCAUUCUGAUUUGCAUCUGUUUAUUUCUCCAGAGGUUUAUUGUGUGUUUGCCCCUGAGGGUCACCAAAGAAGCAGAGAGAUUUUCUCACCCCUGACACCAAUAGUGAAGCUUGAACAGACACAGAAGAACUCAAAUAACCAUCAAAGCCCUGUGUAAGUUCAAGAUGGGUAAUGAGACAUCAGGUGCUGUAUGUUGAGAAGGUGGAGCUGGAACAAACUGGUGGCUGGGGUGUUCAAAGACCUGAGAUAGAGGGCUGAGCAGCAUUUCAGUGAUGCUCUGUUCUGUGGAGGGUUGGCAGAAGAAGGCAGGUGGUGGAAGGUGGGCAUCACAGUGUAGGUGGGAGCCACACUAGGCAGGGUUCAUUGGGCACAGGGUUUGGAUUCUCAGGCUUCACAUUACCUGGGUUCCAGUUUUCAUUCUAUUAUUUGCUAGCUAUGUGACUUUAAGCCAGUACUUGAUCUCUCUGAACCUCAAUUUCUUCUCCUCUAACAUGGGAAUAAGACAUUUCCCAUUGUUAACAAAGAUUAAAUGAGAUAAUACAUCUAAAAAGUAAAGCAAUUAGUGCAUUGUAAUAAGUGCUUAGUAAGUGGUGGUUUGUAGAAGCCUUGAGUCCCUAAAUAUAUUGUGAGGUCCUUGGGGGAAGGGAUUAUAUCAUUUAUUCCUCAUUGUAUGCCUCAUAUGUAGUAAAAUGAUCAAUAAAUAUAUGGAUAAUUUUACUGUAUCAAUCACUAUAGUUCAUCGAAAGUAGCAGAAACUAAUUCAAAUUGGCUUAAACUAGAAUGGGUAGCCUAUAGCCUAUAGGUCAAAUCCAGUCUACCACCUGGAUUUGUAUAAGCCAUGAACUAAGAAUGGUUUUUAUAUUUUAAAAUGUUGCUAUAGAAAGCCAAAAGAAUAUUCUGAGAAACUAGAAAAUGAUGUAAAAUUUAAAAUUAAGUGUCUGUAAAUAAAGUUUUAUUGGAACACACCAGAUCAUUCAUUUAUAUAUGAUGUAUGGCAGGGUUGGCAAACUCUUUUUGGGAAGGGCCAGAUAAUAAGUAUUUCAGGCGUGGUGGACUAUAUGUCCACUGUGACAACUACUGAGCUCUACAGUUGUAACGGGCACUAACUGUGGGAGAGAAUAUCUGAGGACAAGAAAUAGUGAAAAGUGGAAGGACUUGUAGACAGGAAGCCAGCUGUCCUGGGUCUUUGGAUUGAUUUUCACCCAUCAAUGUUAGGAUUUUGUUCAAUUGCUUCAAUUCUGAGUCUGAUGGUCUGGGAAACAAAAGAGUUGGACCAGAUUUUGAGUCCUUCUUUUGGUAUCCCAAUUUAAUACUGAAAGUGUAUAGAGCAGUUAGAAUACUUCAAUUGCAGGCAAGAGAAAUCAACUCUAGUUGUGGCAAGAACUCUAGUUCAUUUAAGCAAUAAAGAAAUGCAGGCAAGGGCUGGGGAUGUGGCUCAAGUGGUAGCGCGCUCGCCUGGCAUGGCUGCGGCCCGGGUUCGAUCCUCAGCACCACAUACAAACAAAGAUGUUGUGUCCACCAAAAAAAAAUAAAAAUAAAAAAUAAAUAUUAAAAAAAAAAGAAAAAUAAAAAGAAACGCAGGCAGGAUUCAGAAAUAAUAGGAAAGCAGGAAAUAUAGGCUUUAGAGAGGACAGGUACCAGUGUAGGUCCUUGGGUGCAAGCACCAGGAAUCAAUGGUAAUCUCUUCAGGAUACUUUCACCUCUGACCAUUUUCAAGAACAUUCAAGAUUGAAAUUCUGAUGCUAUGUUUCUCGAGUCAUGUAAAAGAAUUGGCUGUGAUUAUAUCCAACAGAGAGCCAAAGCCAGAUGAGAAGCCAUGACUUGGAAAAAGGGAAUGGAGGUCAAGCAGGCAAAAAUGACAGAGGUUACGACAGUGGAGGGCGUGGUUAUAUGCUAGACCCUGUAGCAUGGGGAGCCAAUGUUUUUUUUUCUUUUUACAUAUAUAUAUUUAGUUGUAGAUGGACACAAUAUCUUUAUUUUUAUUUAUUUUUAUGUAGUGCUGAGGAUCGAACCCAGGGUCUCAUACAUGCAAGGCAAACACUCUACCACUGAGCUAUAACCCCAGCUCACCCAAUGUUGGUUCUUGAGUCAUUAACUCACUCUCUUAGCAAAUAGUUGCUGAACUGUGCAUUGCAUUUUGGAGGACACUGAAGAAGUAUAAUAAUGACCUUUAAGAGUGGUGGGAAAGGGUGCUUGGAAUUUACCCAAGAGGACCUGGGAAUGGGAUUGUAUUUGCUUUUAAUUUGAGUCAUUAAACUAUAUCUGGGCAUAUGCAACUGUAGCUCAUUUAGAAAGAUAUUAAGUAAUUCUCUAAUUAUAUGUAUUACACGUGGACAGAGGAUCCUGAGAAAAGUGACUUCUCUCACAUGUCAAGAGGCAGAACUAAAAGCAGGAUUUGACUUUCUGACUUGAGAAACUGUUCUGAACUAGCCGCCUAGCAACUGUGGCCCAUUUUAGGAGCUGCUCUGACAGGGCCUUGGCACCUGGCUCUCCCUAACCAUGAACUUGUCAAAGGCAGGGACUCUAUGUUUCUCCCAGGGACUUGCAUGGCACUGGAUGCUCAGAAGACAGAUAUGCAGCGAGAAGUCCCCAUUUACAGCUUCUAUGGAGGAAGCCGAGCCUACCUCUGCUUUAGAUGAAGACUUUAGCUGAGGAGUGUGGAAAUCAUCCCAACUCUUGUCAGCAAAGCCUGGUCUAGGGGCAUAGAGAGAACUUAUUUCAGAGAAGAAGAAUUCAGAGACUUUUUGUAAUAAGGGGUUGACCUGAAAGCUUCCUGGUGUUCAGGUUGGACAAUUUAUCCAUCUCAAUGUGCACAUUAUUAGUCUGGCAAAUAAUGAAACAUUAUGAUCUCACAAAGCAAACCAGUGAGUGUAAUUGUCUCCAUUCAUCUCUCCCCUUGUCUAUGGGAAAAAGCAAGGCUGUGCCUUCACAUUUGCUCAGAAGGAAAUGUUUAUAGAAAUUUGUCUUCAAUCAAGUACUUGUGCAUGUGUGCGCACUUUGUUUAGGAAAACUCGCCAGCUCGCUUGACUUACCUUUGAAGGCUCCUGCAGGGGCCCUGACUCAGCUGUCUGGGACCCCUCAGAGGCCUGGGCUCAGAAGCCCCGGCCCACCCGGGGCCAGAGCCCGGCAAGACUAGCCCCACAGCUGGAUCCUGGGACAAUGGACCUCACAGGCCAAGAAAUCAUUUAUUAAAUUAAAGUGCUGAGCCUUUUUUUCUUCACCUUUACCUGAAAAGAGGGGGUUCUUAUUUCUAACUUCUCUGUUUUCCUGAGGCACUUGGUUCGCCCCACCAGGCCUAGGUUUGUGGGAACACAGACAGUUCCAACUUGGGUUUCACAACAACCUACAGUGUGGACAAUUACCUGAAGGCCAGUGCACAGCUCCUCAAAAUUAAAGACACCUCAGUUCACUUUGGCUUAAUAAAUCCACAUCACCCCACCCUGUGAGGAAUGGGGGGGACAUGCUGGGAAAUCAGACUAUGGCUUGUCCUAUCUUAAGGUUGGCUCCUUUGGAGAUUAUUUUGGGUUGAUUCAUCACUAUUUUUCUUAACUCUGUGGCAGAAAUACGGUGUUGAUUUGUUUGAAGAAAGUUUUUUUUUUCUUUUUUUUUUGAUUAUAUCUCACAGUGAACCAGCCUUCUAUAUAUCUCUCCCAAGUUCUUCCGUGGCUUGUUAUCGUAUCCACAUAACUACUGUUCUACUCUUGUGUUCCCACCCCCUUCACCCUUACCAUGUCAUGUUGAUCCCCUCGCCUUGCUUGUGCCAGUCAAUCUGAAGUAUUAGUGAAAAGGCCCAGUCUAGACUGACUUCCUCCAUGCCAAUUCCUAUUGCAACCCCAGUGGGCAGUGAAGAUCUUACAUUCACAUAGAAGAACUUUCUCGUGGGUCACCCCUUGGCUACACUUCCCUUGAAAUCCAAGAGAUUCUCCACCUCUGAUUUCAGCUGGACCUCAUUUUUCUCUGAGUAGCCACAGAAAUUUAGAAUCGCACCAAUUCAGAGCAGCGGUGAGGGGUAUAACCAGAAAUGUUCAGACACAAGGUUGGUGGCAGUGUUGAUAGUCACCAGCAUCCCCUAUGGGACUUGAUUGAAAACAAAUUUCUCAUCCUAAGAGGCCACCCUUUGGCUUACUCUGUGGGUUUUAUCUGAGAUAUUGCAAGAUCACUACUUUUGUCCCCUCCCUUCCACACACACACCUAGUACUGGGGAUUGAGCCCCAGUACUUUAACACUGAGCUGCAUUCCCAGUUCUUUUUAUUUUAUUUUUUUAUCUUGAGAUAGGGUCUUGCUAAUUUGCCCAGGCUGAUCUCUAACUUGUGAUCCUCCUGCCUCAGCCUCCCAAAUCACUGGAAUUAUAGACAUGUACCACCAUACCUGUUUUCUUCUAUUGUGUGAGUGUGAAAUAUUAUCAGAAAAAAAUAUUUCUCUACUUUUACGUAUCUCCAGAAAAUAUUAAUAAAUUAGAUUAUGAAUUUAUCUUAAGUUUUAUAAAGCUCUAUUCUGUAGCUGGGAUUACAGACAUGGACAACUAUGCCCAGCAAGAUUGCUAUUUUUUUUUCUUUACUAUUUUCUUUCUUUACUUUCUCUCCUUUUUGUCUUAAAAAAGUUCUUAACAAUUUUAUGUCAAACUCUUAUUUAGAGAGUGAUUCAAAUACCAGACGCAUACAAAGAAUAUGUAAAGUUUCCAAGAAGCUUUGGAUAAAGAGCAGAAGUUCAGACGGGACCCACCCAAGGCUGCGGGUGCAGUCUGCAGCCAGACCCAGGGCUUGUCAGCUCCCGGUGCUUUGGCAGGGAAAAGGGUUUGAGCCACUGGCCUGUGGAUUCCCCAGGGUAAGGGAAGCCUGCCGGAGUUCAAGGGAAAAUGAAGAGCCCUGGAAAGAACACAUGUGCAGCUGAUGGCAGCACUUUCUCUGAAGCUGAACCCUCUGACACUCCAUCGCUUGGUAAUUAACAUUCUGUGCAAUGGGAGCUUUCUGUGAGAGCUCUUUCCUGGAGGAAGGUUGUGGGGGAGGCUUGGAGAAAAGGGGCAAUUUUCAGCAGGGAUGAACCUACAGAAGAGAGAGCUUCAGAAAGCAGGGCACUGGAGGACUAUUCUUUGUGCAGUGUUUUGUUGAUCAAAUAAAAUGCUUUACCAGA
Molecule: non-coding RNA, 6634 nt
Organism: Ictidomys tridecemlineatus (thirteen-lined ground squirrel)
Lineage: Eukaryota; Metazoa; Chordata; Mammalia; Rodentia; Sciuridae
Source: RefSeq, a predicted model, not a curated record